AUUGAACGCUGGCGGCAUGCCUUACACAUGCAAGUCGAACGGCAGCGGGGGAGAAGCUUGCUUUUCCUGCCGGCGAGUGGCGAACGGGUGAGUAAUACAUCGGAGCGUGCCCUGUAGUGGGGGAUAACUAGUCGAAAGAUUAGCUAAUACCGCAUACGACCUGAGGGUGAAAGUGGGGGACCGCAAGGCCUCAUGCUAUAGGAGCGGCCGAUGUCUGAUUAGCUAGUUGGUGGGGUAAAGGCCUACCAAGGCGACGAUCAGUAGCUGGUCUGAGAGGACGCUCAGCCACACUGGGACUGAGAAACGGCCAAGACUCCUACGGGAGGCAGCAGUGGGGAAUUUUGGACAAUGGGCGAAAGCCUGAUCCAGCAAUGCCGCGUGUGUGAAGAAGGCCUUCGGGUUGUAAAGCACUUUUGUCCGGAAAGAAAUGGCUCUGGUUAAUACCUGGGGUCGAUGACGGUACCGGAAGAAUAAGGACCGGCUAACUACGUGCCAGCAGCCGCGGUAA
Molecule: ribosomal RNA, 508 nt
Filed under: uncultured bacterium
Lineage: Bacteria
Description: partial 16S ribosomal RNA
Rfam family: Bacterial small subunit ribosomal RNA
Source: RNAcentral